UGGGGAAUAUUGCACAAUGGGCGCAAGCCUGAUGCAGCCAUGCCGCGUGUGUGAAGAAGGCCUCGGGUUGUAAAGCACUUUCAGCGAGGAGGAAGGUGGUGAGCUUAAUACGCUCAUCAAUUGACGUUACUCGCAGAAGAAGCACCGGCUAACUCCGUGCCAGCAGCCGCGGUAAUACGGAGGGUGCAAGCGUUAUCGGAAUUACUGGGCGUAAAGCGCACGCAGGCGGUUUGUUAAGUCAGAUGUGAAAUCCCCGGGCUCAACCUGGGAACUGCAUUUGAAACUGGCAAGCUAGAGUCUCGUAGAGGGGGGUAGAAUUCCAGGUGUAGCGGUGAAAUGCGUAGAGAUCUGGAGGAAUACCGGUGGCGAAGGCGGCCCCCUGGACGAAGACUGACGCUCAGGUGCGAAA
Molecule: ribosomal RNA, 409 nt
Filed under: uncultured bacterium
Lineage: Bacteria
Description: partial 16S ribosomal RNA
Rfam family: Bacterial small subunit ribosomal RNA
Source: RNAcentral